This 95-nucleotide non-coding RNA is filed under the name Pongo abelii (Sumatran orangutan). The record is from RNAcentral. Lineage: Eukaryota; Metazoa; Chordata; Mammalia; Primates; Hominidae.
AACCUUCCCUCCGGGGUUCAAGCAAUUCUCCUGCCUCAGUCUCCAGGCACGCGUGACCAUGUCCAGCUAAUUUUUGUAUUUUUAGUAGAGACGGG